Molecule: long non-coding RNA, 219 nt
Filed under: Mytilus galloprovincialis (Mediterranean mussel)
Lineage: Eukaryota; Metazoa; Mollusca; Bivalvia; Mytilida; Mytilidae
Source: RNAcentral
UUAUGGUUGGGGCCUGUUGUCUAAUUUGUAACAAGUGUAUUGACACGUUAUUUCUACAAUAAUUAACAAAUAACUCACUUGUUGCGCCUUAAAAUCUUCUUUUUAUCAAAUUUUAUUACAUUCUGAAGCGGCACAGAAGCCAGAAAAUGCCCGGUGUUUAUGUAUGACACCGGAAGCAUAUCUAUGACGUCACGUAGUGUAGGGACCAAAGAAGACAAC